This 390-nucleotide ribosomal RNA is filed under the name uncultured organism. RNAcentral's name for it is "bacterial SSU rRNA". It matches the Rfam family "Bacterial small subunit ribosomal RNA", at positions 45 to 433 of the family's 1533-position model. The record is from RNAcentral.
GGCCUAACACAUGCAAGUCGAGCGGUAACAGGGGAAGCUUGCUUCUCGCUGACGAGCGGCGGACGGGUGAGUAAUGUAUGGGGAUCUGCCCGAUAGAGGGGGAUAACUACUGGAAACGGUAGCUAAUACCGCAUAAUCUCUCAGGAGCAAAGCAGGGGAACUUCGGUCCUUGCGCUAUCGGAUGAACCCAUAUGGGAUUAGCUAGUUGGUGAGGUAAUGGCUCACCAAGGCGACGAUCCCUAGCUGGUCUGAGAGGAUGAUCAGCCACACUGGGACUGAGACACGGCCCAGACUCCUACGGGAGGCAGCAGUGGGGAAUAUUGCACAAUGGGCGCAAGCCUGAUGCAGCCAUGCCGCGUGUAUGAAGAAGGCCCUAGGGUUGUAAAGUUC